GGUGAACGUUGGCGGCGCGUCUAAUACAUGCAAGUCGAGCGAGGCUUCGAGCCGAGCGGCGGACGGCUGAGUAACACGUUGGUAGCUACCCCGUACUCAGGGAUAACACUGAGAAAUCAGUGCUAAUACCGGAUGGUCCCGAAAGGGUAAAGAUUUAUCGGUACGGGAGGUGCCUGCGGCCUAUCAGCUAGUUGGUGAGGUAAUGGCUCACCAAGGCUAUGACGGGUAAUUGGUCUGAGAGGACGACCAGUCAGAGGGAAACUGAGACACGGUUCCCACUCCUACGGGAGGCAGCAGUAAAGAAUCUUCCGCAAUGGACGCAAGUCUGACGGAGCGACGCCGCGUGCAGGAUGAAGGCCUUCGGGUCGUAAACUGCUUUUCUGAGGGAAUAAUUCUGAAUGUACCUCAGGAAUAAGCACCGGCAAAUCACGUG
This 433-nucleotide ribosomal RNA is filed under the name uncultured bacterium. RNAcentral describes it as "bacterial SSU rRNA". It matches the Rfam family "Bacterial small subunit ribosomal RNA", at positions 28 to 507 of the family's 1533-position model. The record is from RNAcentral.